This 497-nucleotide ribosomal RNA is filed under the name uncultured bacterium. RNAcentral describes it as "partial 16S ribosomal RNA". It matches the Rfam family "Bacterial small subunit ribosomal RNA", at positions 28 to 507 of the family's 1533-position model. The record is from RNAcentral.
GAUGAACGCUGGCGGCGUGCCUAAUACAUGCAAGUCGAGCGAACAGACGAGGAGCUUGCUCCUUUGACGUUAGCGGCGGACGGGUGAGUAACAUGUAGGUAACCUACCUAUAAGACUGGGAUAACUUCGGGAAACCGGAGCUAAUACCGGAUAAUAUUUCGAACCGCAUGGUUCGAUAGUGAAAGAUGGCUUUGCUAUCACUUAUAGAUGGACCUGCGCCGUAUUAGCUAGUUGGUAAGGUAACGGCUUACCAAGGCAACGAUACGUAGCCGACCUGAGAGGGUGAUCGGCCACACUGGAACUGAGACACGGUCCAGACUCCUACGGGAGGCAGCAGUAGGGAAUCUUCCGCAAUGGGCGAAAGCCUGACGGAGCAACGCCGCGUGAGUGAUGAAGGUCUUCGGAUCGUAAAACUCUGUUAUUAGGGAAGAACAAACGUGCAAGUAACUGUGCACGUCCUGACGGUACCUAAUCAGAAAGCCACGGCUAACUACGUG